This 465-nucleotide ribosomal RNA is filed under the name uncultured bacterium. Its description in RNAcentral is "bacterial SSU rRNA". It matches the Rfam family "Bacterial small subunit ribosomal RNA", at positions 338 to 795 of the family's 1533-position model. The record is from RNAcentral.
CCUACGGGAUGCACCAGUGGGGAAUAUUGCACAAUGGGCGCAAGCCUGAUGCAGCCAUGCCGCGUGUAUGAAGAAGGCCUUCGGGUUGUAAAGUACUUUCAGCGGGGAGGAAGGUGUUGAGGUUAAUAACCUCAGCAAUUGGCGUUACCCGCAGAAGAAGCACCGGCUAACUCCGUGCCAGCAGCCGCGGUAAUACGGAGGGUGCAAGCGUUAAUCGGAAUUACUGGGCGUAAAGCGCACGCAGGCGGUCUGUCAAGUCGGAUGUGAAAUCCCCGGGCUCAACCUGGGAACUGCAUUCGAAACUGGCAGGCUAGAGUCUUGUAGAGGGGGGUAGAAUUCCAGGUGUAGCGGUGAAAUGCGUAGAGAUCUGGAGGAAUACCGGUGGCGAAGGCGGCCCCCUGGACAAAGACUGACGCUCAGGUGCGAAAGCGUGGGGAGCAAACAGGAUUAGAUACCCUCGUAGUC